GACGAACGCUGGCGGCGUGCUUAACACAUGCAAGUCGAACGGUGAAGGGGUCUGCUUUUGUGGGCCCUGGAUGAGUGGCGAACGGGUGAGUAACACGUGAGUAACCUGCCCCCUUCUUCUGGAUAACCGCAUGAAAGUGUGGCUAAUACGGGAUAUUCUGGGUCUGUCGCAUGAUGGGUCUGGGAAAGAUUGCGCCUUUGGGUGUUUUUGGUGGGGGAUGGGCUCGCGGCCUAUCAGCUUGUUGGUGGGGUGAUGGCCUACCAAGGCGGUGACGGGUAGCCGGCCUGAGAGGGUGGACGGUCACACUGGGACUGAGACACGGCCCAGACUCCUACGGGAGGCAGCAGUGGGGAAUAUUGCACAAUGGGCGCAAGCCUGAUGCAGCGACGCCGCGUGAGGGAUGGAGGCCUUCGGGUUGUAACCUCUUUCGCCAGUGAAGCAGGCCUGCUCCUUGUGGGUGGGUUGACGGUAGCUGGAUAAGAAGCGCCGGCUAACUACGUG
RNAcentral lists this ribosomal RNA (501 nucleotides) under uncultured bacterium. RNAcentral's name for it is "partial 16S ribosomal RNA". It matches the Rfam family "Bacterial small subunit ribosomal RNA", at positions 28 to 507 of the family's 1533-position model. The record is from RNAcentral.